Molecule: ribosomal RNA, 501 nt
Filed under: uncultured bacterium
Lineage: Bacteria
Description: partial 16S ribosomal RNA
Rfam family: Bacterial small subunit ribosomal RNA
Source: RNAcentral
GUUGAACGCUGGCGGCAUGCCUUACACAUGCAAGUCGAACGGCAGCACGGGUGCUUGCACCUGGUGGCGAGUGGCGAACGGGUGAGUAAUACAUCGGAACGUACCUUAUCGUGGGGGAUAACGCAGCGAAAGCUGUGCUAAUACCGCAUACGCCCUGAGGGGGAAAGCGGGGGAUCGAAAGACCUCGCGCGAUUAGAGCGGCCGAUGCCUGAUUAGCUUGUUGGUGGGGUAAAAGCCCACCAAGGCGACGAUCAGUAGCUGGUCUGAGAGGACGAUAAGCCACACUGGGACUGAGACACGGCCCAGACUCCUACGGGAGGCAGCAGUGGGGAAUUUUGGACAUUGGGGGCAACCCUGAUCCAGCAAUGCCGCGUGAGUGAAGAAGGCCUUCGGGUUGUAAAGCUCUUUUGUCAGGGAAGAAACACCGGCUCUAACACAGUCCGGGAAUGACGGUACCUGAAGAAUAGGCACCGGCUAACUACGUGCCAGCCGCCGCUGUAA